UCUGCCCAGGAGCUCUGCACAUGCGUACUUAGGUGUGGGCAGGUAACUGGAAAAGACGGUUGGGAGUGGAGGAACUCUGGCCUCAGAGGCUCUGAAACUUGGGUUUCAGUGCGCUGCCAGCUGCCUCGUCUGCUUCUCAGAGAGUCAGUGCUAUCUCGCUGAGCCAGCAGGAGAAGAAAAUCGCCACGUAUUCCCAACCCAGAGGAAGAAGAUCGCUACUCGCGUUUCCAUUGUGGGACAGGAUAAAGUCCACCCAGGGACACUUCAGUGAAGUGCAGCUCAGCUUCUCAUAACCGAAUUUUCACAUUUCGUUAGUUUCCGGAUUUGAUAAAUUUCAUGGGACUACAAAGUACAAUUAACACAAAUUCAUCUCAUGUGUAAGGUUACUAAUCUCCACGAACUUCAUGUUUGCUUCAACUUCACCAACCUGCUAUUUCUUCCUAACUACUCAUCUCUGACUCCCUAUUCUUAGAGAAUUCACAUUAGAAGUCUUUAUAUGUUAAAUUCUCCUCUGCAUCUUUAAGUUGUUCUCCUCCUAGCCUCUUAGCACUUCUGUGGCACAGAACUGUGUCAAGGACCAGAGUGUCAUGUGUGAAUUACAACACUCAGAAAUGACUAUCACCAGAAGUUCCCCAUCUUUAGAGUGACUGACUUCUCUAACUGCUCCAAAGUCAGCAGAGGCAGAUGAUGAUGGUCCAAGGGCAUGGUACAUCCUGUAUCCUGAAAUCUUCCAGCUCCUUUGCUCCAGGACACUGUGAAAGGGAAUCUUGGAUGCCACCUUCAUACCCAGUUAAGAACCCUGGGCCUGUCUGGGACUUUUUCUUGAUUCACAAUUGAUACAGCAGGGCCUGCCCAUUGUGGGUGGUACUGUCAUCCCUAGCCAGCAGUGCCUGGGUUGGGCAAGGAAAGUAGCUGAGCUUCAGCCAGGGAGCAAGCCAGUAAGCAGUGUUCCUCCCUGGUUUCUGUUUCAAGCUCUGCCCUUGAACUGCUCCCUUGGCUUCCCUGGAUGCUGAACCACAAGCUGUUGUAUAAAAUGAAAGUGUGAAUUCAGCCUUCGCUAUCACAAACUGUGUGCUUGAGUUUACCUCAUCAGUGGAAACUGCAGAAGUGAGCACUUCAGAGAGUGGAGGAUGAGCCUCUCCAUGGGAAAGCCACUUUGUAAUGACACUGGUUCCCCUGCAAGAACCCAGAGCAUCCUCCAGAUCCUCACUGUGACAACCAUCCAGGAGUGCUGAGCUUGAUGGGAUGAGAUCAGCAAUACAGCAGCAAUUUCAGAACAGCCUCCUGUGGUUUUCUGGUCCAGGUUGCUUCGACUCCAGAUGCUUUAUAGUAAAAUGUGUCACUGAAGAGAAGGGGACUACUGAUCUGAAUGGAAAAGAGCAAUGGAUUGAAACAUCAGUUCCACAGAAUCCAUGCAGCCUGAUAAGGAACAAGAGAGGGAGCUCUGUCAGCUGUGGCUGCUCUCUCUACACCCUGGGCCCAGGUAUAAGAGGAAGUGUUGAGAGUCUGUCCUCCAGAAGGUAGCCUUCCUGCUUAUCCAUUGUUGUCUCAUGGAUUGAUAGUUACAGAAGACCAGGUAAUUAACUUUAUCAUAACAUAUCAUUGCACAUUCACACACGUCUCUCAGUGGAUAUAAAAUUUACUCUGUGUGUACAUACGAGUUCACAGUAAUGUGCAUAUGAGUGCAUGUGAGGAGCUCAGAGGACAAGCAUCAGGAGACUGUUCUCUCCUUUACCCAUACGGGAUGUGUGGAUGAAGCCUGGAAUGGACAUACUGCUAUCCAAAAUGCUAUUGAUGUGAGUCAUU
Molecule: long non-coding RNA, 1806 nt
Organism: Mesocricetus auratus (golden hamster)
Lineage: Eukaryota; Metazoa; Chordata; Mammalia; Rodentia; Cricetidae
Exons: 6
Source: RefSeq, a predicted model, not a curated record